Molecule: non-coding RNA, 68 nt
Organism: Dovyalis caffra
Lineage: Eukaryota; Viridiplantae; Streptophyta; Magnoliopsida; Malpighiales; Salicaceae
Source: the annotation of a GenBank genome assembly
GUAGCACAGUGGUAGUGCAUUUGUACCUUAAGCAAAGAGUCGUGUGUUCGAAUCACAUUGAAGGCGCA